RNAcentral lists this unclassified non-coding RNA (333 nucleotides) under soil metagenome. Its description in RNAcentral is "partial contains 5.8S ribosomal RNA, internal transcribed spacer 2, and large subunit ribosomal RNA". The stretch from base 1 to 120 matches the Rfam family "5.8S ribosomal RNA", at positions 35 to 154 of the family's 154-position model. The record is from RNAcentral.
GUUGAAGAACGCAGCAAAAUGCGAUAAGUAAUGUGAAUUGCAGAAUUCAGUGAAUCAUCGAAUCUUUGAACGCACAUUGCGCCCGCCAGUAUUCUGGCGGGCAUGCCUGUUCGAGCGUCAUUUCAACCCUCAAGCUCAGCUUGGUGUUGGGACUCGCGGUAACCCGCGUUCCCCAAAUCGAUUGGCGGUCACGUCGAGCUUCCAUAGCGUAGUAAUCAUACACCUCGUUACUGGUAAUCGUCGCGGCCACGCCGUAAAACCCCAACUUCUGAAUGUUGACCUCGGAUCAGGUAGGAAUACCCGCUGAACUUAAGCAUAUCAAUAAGCGGAGGA